GUUAAUGAAAGUUUGUUGAGACUAAGAUUGGAAGAAUACAGAGAUGAUGAGCGUGGCCCCCGCCACAAGGCUGACACACAAACUCAUGAAGUGCUCUAUAUUUUU
Otolemur garnettii (small-eared galago) is the source of this 105-nucleotide non-coding RNA. The record is from Rfam. Lineage: Eukaryota; Metazoa; Chordata; Mammalia; Primates; Galagidae.